This 497-nucleotide ribosomal RNA is filed under the name uncultured bacterium. RNAcentral describes it as "partial 16S ribosomal RNA". It matches the Rfam family "Bacterial small subunit ribosomal RNA", at positions 28 to 507 of the family's 1533-position model. The record is from RNAcentral.
GAUGAACGCUGGCGGCGUGCCUAAUACAUGCAAGUCGAGCGAACAGACGAGGAGCUUGCUCCUCUGACGUUAGCGGCGGACGUGUGAGUAACACGUGGAUAACCUACCUAUCAGACUGGGAUAACUUCGGAAAACCGGAGCUAAUACCGGAGAAUAUAUUGAACCGCAUGGUUCAAUAGUGAAAGACGGUUUUGCUGUCACUUAUAGAUGGAUCCGCGCCGCAUUAGCUAGUUGGUAAGGUAACGGCUUACCAAGGCGACGAUGCGUAGCCGACGUGACAGGGUGGUCGGCCGCACUGGAGCUGGGACACCGUCCAGACUCCUACGGGAGGCAGCAGUAUGCAAUGUGCCGCAAUGGGCGGAAGCCUGACGGAGCAGCCGCGAGUGAGUGAUGAAGGCCUUCGGAGCGUAAAAACCUGUUAUGAGGGAAAAACAAAUUUCUCAGGAACUAUGCACGUCGUGACGGUACCUAAUCAGAAAGCCACGGCUAACUACGUG